RNAcentral lists this ribosomal RNA (395 nucleotides) under uncultured soil bacterium. RNAcentral's name for it is "bacterial SSU rRNA". It matches the Rfam family "Bacterial small subunit ribosomal RNA", at positions 26 to 405 of the family's 1533-position model. The record is from RNAcentral.
AGAUUGAACGCUGGCGGCAGGCCUAACACAUGCAAGUCGAGCGGCAGCACGGGUACUUGUACCUGGUGGCGAGCGGCGGACGGGUGAGUAAUGCCUAGGAAUCUGCCUGGUAGUGGGGGAUAACGCUCGGAAACGGACGCUAAUACCGCAUACGUCCUACGGGAGAAAGCAGGGGACCUUCGGGCCUUGCGCUAUCAGAUGAGCCUAGGUCGGAUUAGCUAGUUGGUGAGUAUGGCUCACCGAAGCGACGAUCCGUAACUGGUCUGGAGAGGAUGAUCAGUCACACGUGGAACUGACGACGUACCGGUCCAGACCUACCGACGGGACGGCAGCGAGGUGGGAAUUAGUAGGACAAGUGGGACGAAGCCGUAGACUCCGAGACCACGCCGCGUGGU